UACGUAGGGGGCGAGCGUUGUCCGGAAUUAUUGGGCGUAAAGGGUUCGCAGGCGGUCUGAUAAGUCAGAUGUGAAAGGCUAUGGCUUAACCAUAGUAAGCAUUUGAAACUGUCAGACUUGAGUUAAGGAGAGGAAAGUGGAAUUCCUAGUGUAGCGGUGAAAUGCGUAGAUAUUAGGAGGAAUACCAGUGGCGAAGGCGACUUUCUGGACUUAAACUGACGCUGAGGAAC
This 230-nucleotide ribosomal RNA is filed under the name uncultured microorganism. RNAcentral describes it as "partial 16S ribosomal RNA". It matches the Rfam family "Bacterial small subunit ribosomal RNA", at positions 524 to 754 of the family's 1533-position model. The record is from RNAcentral.